ACCCUUUGGGGUGUGACUGCGUACCUUUUGUAUAAUGGGUCAGCGACUUAUAUUCUGUAGCAAGGUUAACCGAAUAGGGGAGCCGGAGGGAAACCGAGUCUUAAUUGGGCGUUAAGUUGCAGGGUAUAGACCCGAAACCCGGUGAUCUAGCCAUGGGCAGGUUGAAGGUUGGGUAACACUAACUGGAGGACCGAACCGACUAAUGUUGAAAAAUUAGCGGAUGACCUGUGGCUGGGGGUGAAAGGCCAAUCAAACCGGGAGAUAGCUGGUUCUCCCCGAAAGCUAUUUAGGUAGCGCCUCGUGAACUCAUCUCCGGGGGUAGAGCACUGUUUCGGCUAGGGGGCCAUCCCGGCUUACCAACCCGAUGCAAACUGCGAAUACCGGAGAAUGUUAUCACGGGAGACACACGGCGGGUGCUAACGUCCGUCGUGAAGAGGGAAACAACCCAGACCGCCAGCUAAGGUCCCAAAGUCAUGGUUAAGUGGGAAACGAUGUGGGAAGGCCCAGACAGCCAGGAUGUUGGCUUAGAAGCAGCCAUCAUUUAAAGAAAGCGUAAUAGCUCACUGGUCGAGUCGGCCUGCGCGGAAGAUGUAACGGGGCUAAACCAU
RNAcentral lists this ribosomal RNA (608 nucleotides) under Salmonella enterica subsp. enterica serovar Thompson. RNAcentral's name for it is "partial 23S ribosomal RNA". It matches the Rfam family "Bacterial large subunit ribosomal RNA", at positions 581 to 1190 of the family's 2925-position model. Lineage: Bacteria; Pseudomonadati; Pseudomonadota; Gammaproteobacteria; Enterobacterales; Enterobacteriaceae. The record is from RNAcentral.